AUGUCCCCAAUGUUAUUUAACAUUGUCGCUGACAUGUUGGCGAUUCUGAUUGAGCGCGCCAAGCAGGAGGGCCAGAUUGCAGGAGUAGUGCCACACCUUGUGGAUGGUGGCCUCUCUAUUUUACAAUACGCCGAUGACACAAUUCUUUUUAUGGAACAUGAUCUGGACAAGGCUCGAAACCUAAAACUCUUGCUUUCAGCGUUUGAGCAAAUGUCGGGUCUCAAAAUAAACUUCCGUAAAAGCGAAUUGUUCUGCUUUGGAGAAGCCUUUGAGGCGGCGGCCGAUUAUCCUUACCUAUUUGGUUGCGCACAUGGCCAAUUCCCGAUUAAAUAUCUGGGAAUACCGAUUCAUUAUCGAUGCCUCACCAUUGCGGAGUGGAAGCAUGUAGAGGAGCGUCUAGAGAAACGGUUGACUAGUUGGAAAGGUAAACUACUCUCAGUUGGAGGACGGUUGGUUUUGAUUAACUCUGUCCUCACAAAUAUGGUUCUCUAUAUGCUUUCUUUCUUUCAAUUCCCAAAAGGGGUCCUAAAAAGACUGGAUUAUUUUAGAUCCAGAUUCUUUUGGCAAGGAGAUGGUGAAAAGAAAAAAUAA
This 591-nucleotide ribosomal RNA is filed under the name Triticum aestivum (bread wheat). Its description in RNAcentral is "partial small subunit ribosomal RNA". Lineage: Eukaryota; Viridiplantae; Streptophyta; Magnoliopsida; Poales; Poaceae. The record is from RNAcentral.